RNAcentral lists this transfer RNA (75 nucleotides) under Asparagus officinalis (garden asparagus). Its description in RNAcentral is "tRNA A4U43_Glu342". It matches the Rfam family "tRNA". From Rfam's summary of the family: Transfer RNA (tRNA) molecules are approximately 80 nucleotides in length. Their secondary structure includes four short double-helical elements and three loops (D, anti-codon, and T loops). Further hydrogen bonds mediate the characteristic L-shaped molecular structure. tRNAs have two regions of fundamental functional importance: the anti-codon, which is responsible for specific mRNA codon recognition, and the 3' end, to which the tRNAs corresponding amino acid is attached (by aminoacyl-tRNA synthetases). tRNAs cope with the degeneracy of the genetic code in two manners: having more than one tRNA (with a specific anti-codon) for a particular amino acid; and 'wobble' base-pairing, i.e. permitting non-standard base-pairing at the 3rd anti-codon position. Lineage: Eukaryota; Viridiplantae; Streptophyta; Magnoliopsida; Asparagales; Asparagaceae. The record is from RNAcentral.
UCCAUUGCAGUCUAGACGGUUAGGAUGCUUGAUUCUCAAUCAAGAGACUUGGGUUCAAGUCCCCCGACAAUGGAA